CUUUGCGGUGGGCCAGGAGAGCAUCCAGAGCAUCCAGAGCAUCCAGAGCAUCCAGACGGGCCCCCCCCUCCCCCCCCCCCCCCCCGCGAAACCCUCCGCCGCUCCUUUCUUCCUCGGGGCGCAUGCGCAGCGCAGCGCACCCGCCGGCCACCGCGGCGGCCCUUACGUCACCGCAAGCUGUCGUGUGCCCUUCCGCUUCCCCGAGGAAAACGAGUCCGCGCACCCUCGACGCUCCUUGUCCCGCGGGAGACGCCUCUUCCCUCCUCCUGCCGCGGCACUGAAGGCUUCCCCCGCCGGCGUCCAGCAGCCUGGCGUUCUCCGGCCGGCGAGGCCUCGAAGACGGGGAAAGCGGAGGGCAAGAGGCCCCCCGCGGUGUUUACAGGAGCGAGCCGGCUACGAAUCGGUCCGCGGGGGCGGGGCCAAGGGAGCCGGCGCUUCUUUCCCCCCCUCCCCCCCCCGCCUUCCCCGCGAGCGGACGCGGCAGCGUCUCUGUCUCGCUUUUUCUUAUUUUCCCCCCUUUCCCCCUUUUUUUUCCUUUUCCCUCCCUUCCCCCCUUCUCACCAUUUCCCCUCAGAGACGCUUCUCCCGGGGGACCCGCGGCGGCCGCGACGGCCUCAGGUCGGGGGCAGUCAUGGAGCUGGUGCGCUGACCCGCCGGCCGCAGCCCUGCGUCCCGCUCGACCGCCCGCUCCCCGCUCCCCGGCCCGGGCCCGCGCCCGCUUCCCCCUCUUCUCCCUCCUCAGUCGGUCCCGCCCGCGUCCCGCGCGCCCGGCCGCCGCGCGCUGAGGAAAAUGAGGUGGUAACGGGCCCGCGGAUGACCCCGCGUCUCCACUGUGAGGCCUACAGCUCCGCCGGGGAGGAGGAGGAGGAGGAAGAGGAGGAAGAGGAGGAAGAGGAGGAGAAGGUGAGGGGGCGGGGGCGGGGGCGGGGGGCUCGCUGCGUCUCCGAGGCCCGUCCGCGCUGCGCCUCCUGAGGAAGCCUUCGGGACCUCCCGGCGCCGCGGCCGCUCGGGGCUCUGGGGCCGCCGCCCGGUUUUCCGACGGUCCGCCGUGGGCCCCCGCGGGCCAACUUGCGUGUAGCCCCACCAAGCUGCGCGCUCGUAGGCGCCGCGAGCCCGUGCGCUGCCCGGGGACGGGGACACACCCCCACCCUUCGCCUUCACGCUGCCGCGGGGGCCGCAGGAAGGUAGUUCGCGUUGCGAAGCGGAGUGAACGCCGAACGGUCCGUGGAACGGCCAGUGCCGGUGCUGCGGGGGGGCUGGGGGAGGGGAGCGUUACCCCAGGGGCGGGUGGGUGG
This 1295-nucleotide long non-coding RNA is filed under the name Canis lupus familiaris (dog). RNAcentral describes it as "lncRNA (ENSCAFG00040024270.1)". Lineage: Eukaryota; Metazoa; Chordata; Mammalia; Carnivora; Canidae. The record is from RNAcentral.